AAAGUCGUAACAAGGUUUCCGUAGGUGAACCUGCGGAAGGAUCAUUACAAAUAGAGGGUUAGGGUGGUGGUGGAGUGGUGGAGUGGUGGUGGUGGGGGUAUUUGGUUGGAGGGGUAGGGUAGGGCGCUUGCUCUACUCUGCCUGUGGGUAGGGUAGGGCGCUUGCUCUACUCUGCCUGUCUGAUCAGAGCGCCCGCACCCGCACCUGCACCCGCACUAUCCAUCUAUCUGCCCACAUUAGCACGGGGGGGGGCUGGCUGGCUGGCUGACUCGCACAGAGCUAGCUAGCUAGCUGGCUAGCUACCUACCCCGAUGUUUACGCUUGCUUGUUUGACAAAGUAACAUUGAUUGACCAAAUUGUAUACAACUUUUAACAAUGGAUCUCUUGGCUCUU
Molecule: unclassified non-coding RNA, 393 nt
Filed under: Basidiomycota sp.
Lineage: Eukaryota; Fungi; Basidiomycota
Description: partial contains small subunit ribosomal RNA, internal transcribed spacer 1, and 5.8S ribosomal RNA
Rfam family: Eukaryotic small subunit ribosomal RNA (bases 1-47)
Source: RNAcentral